AAGUCUUCGGAUGGAAUCGAUAAGUUCUAGCGGCGGACGGGUGAGUAACGCGUGAGCAACCUGCCCUCCACAGGGGGAUAACGCACCGAAAGGUGUACUAAUACCGCAUAAGACCACGGGAUCACAUGGUUCUGGGGUAAAAGAUUUAUCGCUGAAAGAUGGCCUCGCGUCUGAUUAGCUAGAUGGGGUGGUAACGGCACACCAUGGCGACGAUCGGUAGCCGAACUGAGAGGUUGAUCGGCCACAUUGGGACUGAGAUACGGCCCAGACUCC
RNAcentral lists this ribosomal RNA (273 nucleotides) under uncultured bacterium. Its description in RNAcentral is "partial 16S ribosomal RNA". It matches the Rfam family "Bacterial small subunit ribosomal RNA", at positions 59 to 339 of the family's 1533-position model. The record is from RNAcentral.